RNAcentral lists this long non-coding RNA (2281 nucleotides) under Nicotiana tabacum (common tobacco). RNAcentral's name for it is "long non-coding RNA (NTAB_LNC005152)". Lineage: Eukaryota; Viridiplantae; Streptophyta; Magnoliopsida; Solanales; Solanaceae. The record is from RNAcentral.
AAAGGGUCUACAUAACUAAAACCGGAAAUUUUCACAUUUAGCAUGUGUACACACUCGUCACCUUGCGUACACGGCUUUCACAUAUCAUAAAUAACACCAAACCUAAGGGGUAAUUCCCCCACACAUGGUUAGGCAUAACACUUACCUCAAACCAUGCUAAAUCAAUCCACUACUAGACCUUUUCCUCGAUUAUUCAACUCCGAACGGCUCAAAUCUAGGAAAAAUAAUUUCAUACUAUAAAUAUAAUUAUAGGAAACUAAUUCAAACAAUGAAAUUGCAAUCUUUGCAAAGAAUUAAAAAGUCACCCUAGAUCCACACCUCAAAACCCGACCAAAAUUAUAAUAGCCGAACGCCCAUUCGAUAUCGAGUCCAGCCAUAUAAGAAUUACUCAAAACCGACCUCAAUUCGCCUUUCAAAACUCAAAUUUUAGUCUAAGAGGUUUCUACCAUUUUUCCCCAAUUUUCAACUCCAAAACACUAAUUAAUUGAUCAAAUUAACAAUAGAUUCUUGAAAAAUUAACCAAAACCAAGUUAGAAUUCCUUACCCUAACGAUCUCUCUGAAAAACCCUCGAAACAGCGCCUCCCACCGAGCUCUCUAAGUUCAAAAAUAAAUUAAGAAUCAAAACCCUCGAAUUUCCCCUUUUCUGCCUAGGGAAUCCGCUUCUGCUACCUUUUUAUUGCUUUUGCGAUACCGCACCUACGGAAAAACCAUCGCAGGUGCAGAUUCCACUUGAAUCCAGAAGUUUCGCUUCUGAGGACCAUGGAGACCGCACCUGCGAGCCCGCCCUAAGCCCCUCUGCCAAAUUUUGCAUCAGCGAAGUAAAUGGCAGCGCCUGCGGAGGCGCACCAGCGCUUAGGUGUCCGCACCUGCGAGCCCAGCCCUGGGCUCUCCUUUUCGCAUCUACGCACCACUAUCCGCACAUGCGGCCAAUCUUUCUCCAGGUGCGAUGACACCAGAAAGCUGGUAACUUCAGCAAUUCACAUAAGUCCAAUUUCAAUCCGGAUUCAAUCCGUUUCACACCUGGGGUCCCCGGGAUCCCGUCUGAAAGUACCAACAAGCUCUAAGUUCCGUGAUUUUAGUACGAUUGCUUUAAUCAUACCUGGCUUAAUUAAUUAUUUAAUUAUGUAUCUUUUUAGAACCUAUGUGCAUUUUACCUUUUUCCGCUUUUAAUUAUAGCCUAAUGGAUUUAUCUUUGAAGCGGAUCACAUGUGCAUAAAUUCGUUUUAUUUUGUGCGCUAAAAUCAUGACACGCAUACGUAUACACAAUUAAUCAUGCUUUAUUAAUUAUUAAGAUUGUUUGGUCAAGGUCGCACGAACGCGUACCUUGAUUUAUUUUGAGAAUCAUAAUUAUGUCACGCGAACGUGUACAUAAUCAUGAUAAUAAAUUUAAUAUGUGCCUAAAGCACUCUAACGGUACUCAUUAUUCUUCCUAAACUUUAAAAAUAUUAUAAGGUCAUGAAUUAUGGAAUUAUUUGUGGAACAAAAUGUAAUAAAUUAGUUAUGGAAAGGUGAGCUAGCCAAGAAUAUUUAACAAUUCGGCCAACUAGAGCUCUUAUGUGUAUUAAACCACUAAGACUUAAAUCAUGCUUAUCAGGGACAAAGAUAAGUUUAUUCAUGCUCAAGGAUUCACAACCAUAAUCACCAAGAUAAUGUAUUAGUCAAGUAUAAAAUGAGAGAUGGACCUUCAGGCAGUAAACUUUCUUCAUUACAUCAACGGACCUCUAUAAGAGCUCGAAUAGCACAGCUACUACAACAACAAUAGACUCACGAUCGGAAUCUCAACAGGAAACUUGAACCCGACCUCGACUUGAGUGGAAGAUUUUGAAUUUUAAACUCCUGCCCAACUGAACACUACCUUGAAAAAGUGAUGUUUAGACAGAUUUUCCAACCUGUUUCAAUUGAGGUUUUGGCUAGGAUUUUGGCUGAGUUUUGGAGGUUGUUUUGGGGUGGUUGUUGGCUGGAAUCGGCUAGUUUAAGCUGUGAUUUUGGAUUGAUUUCAGCAGGUUUUUGGCUGAUUUUCACUGGGUAAUUGGGGUUGUUUUUCAGCUCAUUGUUGCUGAUUUUGGGAUUGUGUUUGAGCUGAUUUUUGUGGUGGUUAAAGGUUAGCUUUUGGGUGAGGUUUUGGAGCUAGUUUUUCUGGGUUUUAGUGGUGGAAACAUGGGCUGUUCGGGGUUGUCUUAGGGUAUUAAUGAUGGUGGAAACAUGGGUUUCAUGGUGUUUUCAUGGUAGUUUUAGGCUUGGAUUUUGUGUGGUUGAAGAAGAAAGAGCCGCUACUUUUUU